Molecule: ribosomal RNA, 138 nt
Filed under: Escherichia coli
Lineage: Bacteria; Pseudomonadati; Pseudomonadota; Gammaproteobacteria; Enterobacterales; Enterobacteriaceae
Description: partial 23S ribosomal RNA
Rfam family: Bacterial large subunit ribosomal RNA
Source: RNAcentral
CUUGCCCCGAGAUGAGUUCUCCCUGACCCUUUAAGGGUCCUGAAGGAACGUUGAAGACGACGACGUUGAUAGGCCGGGUGUGUAAGCGCAGCGAUGCGUUGAGCUAACCGGUACUAAUGAACCGUGAGGCUUAACCUU